UGAUAGCUAAGAAGCGGAGGUUGCCGGGAACUGUUGAAACAGAAUUCCCAGGUUUUUCGUGGAGCGAAUGUCAAGAGACCAUAAGGUCUGUAAACCUGGCGACA
This 104-nucleotide non-coding RNA is filed under the name uncultured Catonella sp. RNAcentral describes it as "S10-Clostridia ribosomal protein leader". It matches the Rfam family "S10-Clostridia ribosomal protein leader". The record is from RNAcentral. Lineage: Bacteria; Bacillati; Bacillota; Clostridia; Lachnospirales; Lachnospiraceae.